AAAGAAAUAUCCAUAAAAAGCUUCUAACUUUUUUAAAAGCACUAAAAUGU
RNAcentral lists this transfer RNA (50 nucleotides) under Lycus sp. UPOL LF0035. Its description in RNAcentral is "partial tRNA-Ser". Lineage: Eukaryota; Metazoa; Arthropoda; Insecta; Coleoptera; Lycidae. The record is from RNAcentral.